UUGAUCUAGACUCACAAAGAAAGGGAAAAUGUGUUGUUCUAAAAACUUCUACACGACAAGUAAGCUAGAAGCCCUCAUUUAUCCAUAUUUUACUUAUUUUUCCCUUGAUGGAGCGUAAGUUCUGCUUCAUCUUGCCUCCUAAAUGUAGACUUGAAUGUUGAAAUAUCGAAUGGUCUUGGCUGAACCUAUUCAAAGUUAGCUUACUUUGGCAAUGCGAUGAUGGAACCUAUCCAAAAAGAAUAUAUAUAUAUAACCUUGAUGAGGGAAUUCUUAUCCUCAUCUUUUUUGAUUUUUCAUUAUAUAAUUAUGAUAAUGUGCGCACUUAUGUGUUAUGCUAUCCAGUUUUAUUCUCCUGCUCCUAUGUGGAGUUAUUGAUGUUUAGACUUGUUGGGGGAAAAAUGGAUCGUCCCGAAACACGUGAAUGCAUCGCCAUCACGUGACUGGGGGCGCCCGACCCCGAAGCGCCCGACCUCGAGGCGCCCGAUCUCGACAUCCCUGAUUUCAAAACGCUAAGACGACCUCAGAAGGUUGACCUUGCCGUUCACAUGUUGCGGCCAUGCCCUGCGACAACCUCGCCGCACCAUGCUCCGCUCGCCAGCCAUGCCACGACAUAUCAACCAGGGACUAUGCCCUGGGCGGCUGUCAGCAAUUAAUGCGCAUGGCCUCCGCAGAUCUCCGGCUUACUCAACAAUUAAUGCGCAUGGCCUCCGCAGAUCUCCGGCUUACUCAACAAUUAAUGUACACGGCCUCCAUGGAUCUCCGACCUACUCAAAAUCUUAAGCCCUCCACGACAGCUAGUUGACUCA
This 806-nucleotide long non-coding RNA is filed under the name Phoenix dactylifera (date palm). RNAcentral describes it as "long non-coding RNA (PDAC_LNC018048)". Lineage: Eukaryota; Viridiplantae; Streptophyta; Magnoliopsida; Arecales; Arecaceae. The record is from RNAcentral.